Long non-coding RNA from Hippopotamus amphibius kiboko, 1200 nucleotides. RefSeq lists it as uncharacterized. The transcript has 3 exons. The record is from RefSeq and is a predicted model, not a curated record. NCBI's taxonomy places the organism in Eukaryota, Metazoa, Chordata, Mammalia, Artiodactyla, Hippopotamidae.
CCCCUCAGCUUCCUCACUGGUUUCCCUGCUUCCCCAACUCUUCUCCUCUCACCCCACCCCCCAUGCCAUCCUCCUCCAUGAUUUCUCUAAAGUGGUGUACAAAGGGAAGGAGGGCUUUGGACUGGACCCCCAGCUGCAGUCCCUGCGGCCAUGGGUACACAGGACGGGACUCCCACUUUACACAGAGGACUCUGGUCCUGGAUCAUUCGGGAAUAUGACUUCACGACUGUAUGUGGCUUACACCCCUGAUGAGGUAUCCGUCCUCCACAAUCCCUCAGCAGCGGCUGCCUGGCACACAAGGUUCAAUGGAUAUAGAAGUUCCUGUUAAUGCUGCAGUGUCUCUUGCUCCAUCCACACAUUGUCUGAGACUCUAAUGAAACCUAAUGUUAAUUUGUAAAACAAACAAACAGAAGAAGCAGUAGGGAGCAGUAGACACUGAUGUCAGAACUCCUGCAGUGGCAGGGUCUUCAGUGCUGAGAGAACAGGAUGGCAUUGGAGGCUCAGCUUGGCAGCUCACACGGUCUGGCCACCACCGAUGCUAAGACUCUAGAAGAAGUGGAGGAGAGCCAAAGGAUGUCUGGGGCCCAGAAAGAGGACAGCCCCCAAAAGGCAUAGCUGUCACACCAGCAUUGAACGAAUCACCAGAGCUCAACAAUGGACUUUAGCCAGAAGAACAAGAGCAGAGUCUAUAUGCCAAUGCCUAGUCACUUGGGUGACCAGCAGGAGGAGGUUACCGCCUCAUUCCAUCAACUGGUCAACUGGCUCAAGGGAGCCUGUGAAGGAGGAGGUGGCACCAAUGGGGUAAGAACCUCCCCGCAGAGUCAGGAUAGGCAUAGUGGAGGGAGGUCUCAUAUGCAGCAGCCUCCCAGCAAUGCCGCCCAACCAAUGCCACCCAACAGGCUGGCAUCGGGACAUGGAAGACAGAACAUGGAGACAUUGGAAGCAACUUAAAUGUUCAUCGACGGAUGAAUAGAUAAAGAUGUGGUGUGUGUGUGUGUGUGUGUGUAUAUAUAUAUAUAUAUAAAAUGGAAUACUACUCAACCAUAAAAAAGAACAAAAUAAUGCCAUUUGCAGCAACACGGAUGAAAUUAGAGAUUAUCAUACUAAGUGAAGUAAGUUAGAAAAAGAAAGACAAAUAUUAUAUCACUUAUAUGUAGAAUCUAAAAUAUGACACAAAUGAACUUACAAAAUAGAAACAGA